Molecule: long non-coding RNA, 1048 nt
Filed under: Heterocephalus glaber (naked mole-rat)
Lineage: Eukaryota; Metazoa; Chordata; Mammalia; Rodentia; Bathyergidae
Description: lncRNA (ENSHGLG00100040275.1)
Source: RNAcentral
UAACCCCUGGCCCCUACCUUCGAAAUUUAAAACAUUGGUUGCUUAUACCCUGGUCCUGGAUAGAUUUGUCAGUUUUACUUUGGCUAGGGCUAGGUGUUUUCAAACCGACCAUUGAAUGUUUUCCCUCAACUUUAAAAAAACUUCCGUUUGUUCUGGAAUCUUUUAAACAUGCCAAUAACCCAUACACUGGAUGUCUACUCUGUGGCUCUACCUGCUUUUUCUAAGCCUGCUAGGACAUAGUCUUGGGGAAAACCUCCCCCGCUCUGAGUCUGAACCAUCCCAGUACAGCUAGCCCCUCAUGUCUGGCGGAAAGCUGCCCCACCUGGAGAGCGGUUCGCCAUGGCAGCCAGCCACUUCCCUCCCUUCCAACCUACAGCCAAACCAAAGGAACGAACAGAAACGUGAGGAGGCAAAGCCCGCAAAGCUUGUUCAGUACAGAGGGGUCUGGAGGACUGGGCCUCAAUCACAUUUUUUACAUACGUCAGUUUUAGAAACCUCUCACAAGACUGAGACUCCACCGCCGCAGUCAGGCACCGCAGCGCGCACGGGAAGGUACUGCUAACGGUCGCCAAGUGCGCGCCAGUUGGGAAGUUCCCGGAUGUUCUUACGACACCUGUGACGCCCGGAUGUUCUUACGACGCACGCCCAUUGUUGCGCAGGUACCAAAGAGUGCGCAUGUGCAGGAAGUAGUACUGAAGGAGGCGCAAAAAAAUGCCUUGACAUCAACGCGUAGAGUCCUACAAGUUCAACUAGGCUAUGUUCCGGAAGCAUUUGCCUUCCUUCUAGAAUUCUGUAUUUAAAGCUCCAACUUGACAAGAUCAUAUCCUUCAGCCUCACACAAGGCCUUUAGCUUCAGGUAAGUUGCUCAUUAACUUAGAGAAGAUAGUUCAGCGCUCGUGGUGCAGGUGAGUGGGUCUUACAGCAAAAGUCUGCUUCUACCUUGUGUAGUUUUGUUCAGCAUUGCUGUGUUGACUGAUGACCACUGGGUACAAGCUGAGCAGGAUGGCCUCAGGAAGGGGCUCUGCUGCUGAGGGUUGUCGACCUCUUG